This 1482-nucleotide long non-coding RNA is filed under the name Androctonus crassicauda. Lineage: Eukaryota; Metazoa; Arthropoda; Arachnida; Scorpiones; Buthidae. The record is from RNAcentral.
AAACUUUUAAAAUGUUAAUUGCGGAUAAAUAGAGAUUUGGCGAUCUGUAUGAAUAACCAUGAGACUCGCUGUAGAUCGACACAAAUUACAUCGACCAUUGUAUUGGUCUUCUUUAGUAAGCCAGCCUUUGAAUUUCUCAUCCUGCGUCCAUUCGUCCUUGUAAACACACCAUCGUUUUAUUUUCUUCGGCGGUGUACAUGAAUAGCUGCUGGUCAGCUCUUGUUCGUUGUCACUAUUUGAAUUACUGCUUUCCAUCUUGACUGAACGAGGGGAUAACAAAAAAUUGUGGAAAACAAAGUCACGCUCAAUACAACUAAACACGUCCGAACAUGCCAAACGCUUUGAAGAGGCUGACGUCAGCGUCAGACGGGUCUAAAUAGUAGUGGGGAGGUGGGAGGAAUGUACGUUGGAACGACGUUCAGCGGAUUUACACGAUGUUAAUUUGAAUAAAAAUAAAUGGAAUAUUUUUCUCAAAAUUUCCGGGACAAUUUAGCAUUCAUCCGGGAUACGGGACAGCGAUUCCAAUUCCGGGACAAUCCCGGCCAAUCCGGGACGGUUGGCAACCCUACUUACACCUACUUCUUGUUUUACUUUCUCCCAAAUGUUUUGCUUCUUCACGUUAUAUUUAUAAUCCAAUCUCUGCAUAUCAUAAAUUUCGGUAAUUUUGAAUGUUUAACAAAAAAUUUUUCGAUUCGCUUUUCGUUAAGCUGAUCCUCCGUCUUGGACUGCGACAGAGUUUCCAAUUAGAAGAAAUUUUAAUCUUAACGUUUGACGCUGGCGCCACGCUGCGCUAAGUUUGACGUUGAUAGAAUUUUGACUAUAAAUCAUGAACGUUAACAUCGAACGUCCAACGACUGCUAGCGACCUUGAAACGGCACGCUGAACGGUUGAAAAAAAACAACGCCUUUCUCCUGUAUUAUGGUUAAAAGAAAUUUCCUGAUUUCAACUUGGGCUAUCUUAAACAUUUAUAAGCCGCAAUAUUCUCCCUACAAUUCCUACCUAUUUGUUUUGGUUACUGAUAUCCUCUACUAUUAAUACUAUUAUCCUCUACUAUCUUAUAAACUAUUUGUCGUUGUUAAUCUGCCAUGAAGUACGUUCGCAUCUUGCUUUAACCCCCUUGUUUUUAAACGGGAGCAGAUACGAAUGAGCUUGCUUUGCUCGUACCACUUUUAUUUAUUUGUUUCAUCAUAUCUAUUUUUCGUCGUGCAAUUUCAUAUUCUUCUAUAAUUUGUAAUAAUCAUAACUCUGUACAAUAUUAUUUCAAUUCGCGGCAUCUCAUGCUUCUUAGGACUAAGCCAAACAUUAUAGAUAUAUUUAAAGAUUUAAAUCAUCUUUUUCUUUUCUACUCUCCUUCCUUUCUUUGGAUUAUGAACAGAGAAAUCGCCGCGUUCCCCCUGAGGCGAAACACAACGUCCGCCAUGUGCGGUGCUUUUCUUCUGCCCGUUUUUACGCGGAGGUGGUCUUUUGAGAAGUGCCCAUUAG